Molecule: ribosomal RNA, 253 nt
Filed under: uncultured bacterium
Lineage: Bacteria
Description: partial 16S ribosomal RNA
Rfam family: Bacterial small subunit ribosomal RNA
Source: RNAcentral
UACGUAGGGUCCAAGCGUUAUCCGGAAUCACUGGGCGUAAAGCGUGCGUAGGUGGUUUGUUAAGUGAGAUGUGAAAGCGUAGGGCUCAACCCUAUCGUUGUGUCUCAUACUGGCAAACUAGAGGACAUCAGAGGCAAGUGGAAUUGGUAGUGUAGCAGUGAAAUGCGUAGAUAUUACCAGGAACACCAAUGGCGAAGGCAGCUUGCUGGGAUGUUUCUGACACUGAGGUACGAAAGCGUGGGGAGCGAACAGG